Molecule: unclassified non-coding RNA, 229 nt
Filed under: plant metagenome
Description: partial contains small subunit ribosomal RNA, internal transcribed spacer 1, and 5.8S ribosomal RNA
Source: RNAcentral
UCUCCGUAGGUGAACCUGCGGAGGGAUCAUUACAGAGUUCAUGCCCUACCGGGUAGAUCUCCCACCCUAUGUUAUUAUUACUAUGUUGCUUUGGGGGGCCGUUAGGCUCCGGCCCGACUACCGGCCCCGGCUGGUAAGCGCCCGCCAGAGGACCCAAAACCCUGAAUAUUAGUGUCGUCUGAGUACUAUAUAAUAGUUAAAACUUUCAACAACGGAUCUCUUGGUUCUG